Molecule: transfer RNA, 89 nt
Filed under: Phonochorion satunini
Lineage: Eukaryota; Metazoa; Arthropoda; Insecta; Orthoptera; Tettigoniidae
Description: tRNA-Ser
Rfam family: tRNA (bases 1-67)
About the family: Transfer RNA (tRNA) molecules are approximately 80 nucleotides in length. Their secondary structure includes four short double-helical elements and three loops (D, anti-codon, and T loops).
Source: RNAcentral
GUUAAUAAGCUUUAUAAAGCAUAUGUUUUGAAAACAUAAAAUAGAAGUUUAAAUCUUCUAUUAACUUCUAUUUUACUAAAUUUAUUACA